Molecule: RNA transcript, 1598 nt
Organism: Triticum aestivum (bread wheat)
Lineage: Eukaryota; Viridiplantae; Streptophyta; Magnoliopsida; Poales; Poaceae
Gene name: E3 ubiquitin-protein ligase UPL3
Exons: 5
Source: RefSeq, a predicted model, not a curated record
GAUGGGAGACGUAGCUGCCCACCCCGCACGAAACGACUUUUCCUCCCCACUCACAUCUCCUCCCUCUCUCCCUCGCUUGCACGGGCACACACAGGCAACCGCUCGAGCCUCGAGGAGAGCAGCAGCGACUCGAUGCGGCCGCCGGAGGAGCAGCGGUAGCCUACGUGCUCGUGGUAGAAGCGACCCGCAAUGGAGGAGCUGCAGUGGCCGAUGGCAGCGGACCAGAUCGGCGCAUCACGAGAGCGGACACGGUCACGGGCAGAGCAGAGCCAAGUCGGCGCGGCGACCGGGCGCAAUCUGGAGAACCGGUGGGCGGUGGUGCGCGGUCUGGGCGGGCGCGACGUGCACGAGUUGGCGGCGAGGUGACGGCGUUGACCAGGAUGCCGUCGCAGAUCCUCGUCAUGCCGUCGGGAGAGGAGCUCGUUGAGGAUUCCCGCUUCUCCACGGAUCCACGACGGAGCGAGGUGCUCGAGGAGAAACUUCUUCUCGGGAUGCCAUGGAAAUCGGCAAGUGACUCCAUUUGCCCAUCAGAGAACCAGUGGGUUGAGGCCCUCUUUUAUGCACGACUCCUAUUAAGGCCGGUGUUAUUUUCCGCGAGCCUUCCUCCAUAUGACCUCAGAACAUUUUAACAUAUGCUGAAUAAUGAGGUAUCAUUUUUGGCAGUUCCAAUAUGCAAACUACACGACCGCUGACUAUGCAAAGACCGGAAAAAGGGUCCUUGAGGCUUCAGAUAAUUAAUCAGACGAGUGAUAUCAUUCACACUAUUUUCUGGAGGCCUCUCAAAUCUCACAGUGACAUGGACAAGUGGAUAUAGUACCAAGGAGGCUGCACCGUUUGUUGAAUGGGGCAUACAAGGGCAAAUUCAAAUCCUUUCUCCUGCAAGGCACCCUCAUGUUCAGUCACGACACUAUGUGUGGUGCUAAAACAUGCUUCCAUUUGCCUGACUCGUAUAGCAGAAGCGUUUGCUUCUCCGAAGAAACUGGAUCAAUUGUGCAAUAUGGAUAGGUUGCACAAGCUGCAAGCUUAAUAUGCUUCCAUUUCACUUUUUGUUGCUACUGUAUUAUUUACGCAUAUUUGCUGUUCUGUCAAUAUGUGCAAGUGGGUCUGCAUUGGCAGCUAAAACACCCCUCCUCCAUGGAAUUAGCGGCACACUUAAAGAUAUCCUUUCAGGUUCUGGUUUGGUUGCUGGUACAACUGUAUCCCCCACUAGGUCAGCUGAUCAGGGUCCCUCGCCGCGCCGUGGAUACGGUGACCUCGUCGGAGCAGUGUGCGGACGAGCCACAAGCCGACGUAGACAGUUGCUCCUGUCACGCACACCGGCUGGUUCUGCUCUAGCGAGCCGCCGGCGUCGUUGCCCAUCUUGAUCUCCCCCUGCGACUCCUUCAAGCGAGGGUGCUGGACGCUGAGGACCGGAGAGGAAUCGGUGGAACUGUCAGUCCGUCCACGAUCUAAAGAUGUACUUCUGCACAUCGUAAAAUAGCUAAGUUGCAGGUUGUUAGGAGUACUGUGCUACAGUUCCACUUAUAUGGAAAGAGACCAGAUUCAUUACCGAAAAAGGCUUUCGCCCCGCUUUAUAUAUAAAGCAAAGAUCCACAUCA